UGCAACGUCUUACUUUUGUACACAUUUAUUAUUUAUAUUGAUGUAAUGAUAAAAAAAAACUCAAAGGUUCCGUAAUACAAGAGAAGAAAAGAGUUAUCAUCGAAUAAAUUGUGUUUUUAUAUGAACUUUUGUCCGAAAAGCUGACGCUGAUAAAUUUAACGUAAUAAAAUGGGAGUCUAUGGAGCAAAGUUCGUAGCACGAACGUGUGUUGUAUAAACAAACGUUCAAAUUUCAAAUUUACAUCUGAUAUGUCAAGGAUCGUUUAUAAAACAGCCGAAACAAUAUAACUGUUUAUAGAUAACAUUAUAAACAAUGUUCUAAGAAAACGCACUCAUUUGGUUGCGCAAGCGCAUCACAGUAAAGCUCUGAGCCGAACAAGGACAUUGACCUCUACUUAGAUUACCAGAUGUCAUGGGGUUUCCGGUUACUCUUAUAAUAUGGAAAUCUAUGAGUGUUAACGGUUUACGCGUCAGAAAUACUAUUUACGAAGCAAAAAACAAAUUAUCUAACAUUAUUGCGAGUUAAAUAAAAAUGAAUCAUAGUUUCGAAAUAAUUCAGGAAAAACGCAUUCGUUAUUCGUCAUUGCAAUUAUAAUGAGAAAUAUAUAAAUAAAUAA
Danaus plexippus (monarch butterfly) is the source of this 616-nucleotide long non-coding RNA. RefSeq lists it as uncharacterized. NCBI's taxonomy places the organism in Eukaryota, Metazoa, Arthropoda, Insecta, Lepidoptera, Nymphalidae. The record is from RefSeq and is a predicted model, not a curated record. The transcript is spliced from 3 exons.